AUUUUGGAUAAUGGGGGAAACCGUGAUCCAGCCAUGCCGCGUGUGUGACGAUUGUCUCCGGAUUGUAAAGCACUUUAAGUUGGGAGGAAGGGCUUUAGGGUAAUACCCUGAAGCUUCGACGUUACCAACAGAAUAAGCACUGGCUAACUCUGUGCCAGCAGCCGCGGUAAGACUGAGGGUGCAAGCGUUAAUCGGAAUUACUGGGCGUAAAGCGCGCGUAGGUGGUUCAGUAAGAUGGGUGUGAAAUCCCCGGGCUUAACCUGGGAACUGCUUUCAUAACUGCUGAGCUAGAGUACGGUAGAGGGUAGUGGAAUUUCCUGUGUAGCAGUGAAAUGCGUAGAUAUAGGAAGGAACACCAGUGGCGAAGGCGACUACCUGGACUGAUACUGACACUGAGGUGCGAAAGCGUGGGGAGCAAAC
RNAcentral lists this ribosomal RNA (420 nucleotides) under uncultured bacterium. RNAcentral's name for it is "partial 16S ribosomal RNA". It matches the Rfam family "Bacterial small subunit ribosomal RNA", at positions 361 to 773 of the family's 1533-position model. The record is from RNAcentral.